AAUCGCUUCGGCGAUCCAUAAAUUAAAAUUGGAACGAUACAGACAAGAUUAGUGGGCCCCGUGAUAAGAUGACACGCAAUUUUGUGAAGCGUUCCACAUUUUU
Small nuclear RNA from Cimex lectularius (bed bug), 103 nucleotides. The record is from RefSeq and is a predicted model, not a curated record. Lineage: Eukaryota; Metazoa; Arthropoda; Insecta; Hemiptera; Cimicidae.